UACAGAGGGUGCGAGCGUUAAUCGGAAUUACUGGGCGUAAAGCGUGCGUAGACGGUUUUGUAAGUCGGAUGUGAAAUCCCCGGGCUCAACCUGGGAAUUGCAUUCGAGACUGCAAGGCUUGGGUGCGGAAGAGGGAAGCGGAAUUUCCGGUGUAGCGGUGAAAUGCGUAGAUAUCGGAAGGAACAUCGGUGGCGAAAGCGGCGCGCUGGACCUCUUCUGACGCUGAGGCGCGAAAGCCAGGGGAGCAAACGGG
RNAcentral lists this ribosomal RNA (253 nucleotides) under uncultured bacterium. RNAcentral's name for it is "partial 16S ribosomal RNA". It matches the Rfam family "Bacterial small subunit ribosomal RNA", at positions 524 to 776 of the family's 1533-position model. The record is from RNAcentral.